Molecule: long non-coding RNA, 583 nt
Filed under: Homo sapiens (human)
Lineage: Eukaryota; Metazoa; Chordata; Mammalia; Primates; Hominidae
Description: HSALNT0392572
Source: RNAcentral
GUCUUUCAGGAUGAAUGCCAUCCACACAAAAGAGCUCCUGUUGACAUCUCAUUUACAAUCUCCCCCAGGACACAGACAAGACCCUUUCAAUAAAUCCAGCUCAGAAACACCUAUUGUUCAAAAUCUUCAACUCGCCACAGGCUACCACCACUCCCUAUGGCUUUGCAAAAUUAAAGAUUUAGAAGAAGGAUGGGGCGGUGGAAGCUAUGAAAAGAGGCAGGAAAAAAGUUCCUUUGACCCGAUGCUGUCAGAGAGCGUGCAUGAAGAAGAAAGUUAAUGGUAUUUCCAUUUAUAUAAGAAGCGCCUAAGAAAUGCCUGUGACGUUCGUGAACUAGUGAUUGUGAAUUCCAAAUUUGAUGCCAACUUUAUGUGUAAAGAAGCUAACUCCUGCCAACAUCGUGGCUGAAUGAACAGCUGGGACUAUGCUUAACCCAUUCCCAGCUUAUAAAAGCCCCAUGGCAGCUGCAGUGAAGCAUCAGAAAAGUAUAGUAAGAAGAAACUGAAUUUGAAGUGGAUUCUUACAAAGGAAAAAGAAAAUCACUAUUAUUAUGUGAUGCAACAAAAUUCAAAUAUGAAAACCAUC